UCUUAUCAAGAGAGACGGAGGGACUGGCCCUGCGAAGUCUCAGCAACCAGCCAACUGGCCGAGGUGCUAAUUCCAGGAGGUGCAUGCGCAUCUCGCAAGAUGAGA
This 105-nucleotide non-coding RNA is filed under the name uncultured Sporosarcina sp. RNAcentral describes it as "SAM riboswitch (S box leader)". It matches the Rfam family "SAM riboswitch aptamer (S box leader)". From Rfam's summary of the family: The SAM riboswitch is found upstream of a number of genes which code for proteins involved in methionine or cysteine biosynthesis in Gram-positive bacteria. Lineage: Bacteria; Bacillati; Bacillota; Bacilli; Caryophanales; Caryophanaceae. The record is from RNAcentral.